This 29-nucleotide transfer RNA is filed under the name Anaxyrus californicus (arroyo toad). Its description in RNAcentral is "partial tRNA-Phe". Lineage: Eukaryota; Metazoa; Chordata; Amphibia; Anura; Bufonidae. The record is from RNAcentral.
AAGAUGGACCCUAAAAAGUCCUUUAAACA